Molecule: non-coding RNA, 2470 nt
Organism: Paramisgurnus dabryanus
Lineage: Eukaryota; Metazoa; Chordata; Actinopteri; Cypriniformes; Cobitidae
Source: RefSeq, a predicted model, not a curated record
CCCUCUUAAAGAGCACCUAUUAUGGGAUACAUGUUUUUAAACAUCAUUUUGUGUGUAAGUGUGUAUUAGUACAUGCUAACGAUAUUCAAAAAGUACAUACCUCAAAGAAAACGAUGACGCGAGUUAUCGUCUCUAACGUUCGAGGACUACAAAAAACACUCGGAUUGUAGGCAACAGUUUACUUCCUGUGAUUAGUGACGUAGAUAAGACCAACAUUAUCAUAGUUCAGCCGUCUCUGCUUUGCUUGGGUACGCCCUCAAAGACGAGGGUGGGGAGCGCCGAGUCAGAAGAGAGCUAAAAUGGCGGAGGUUGGGAGUCCCUGCUUUUACUCUGUUUGCAAACUCUUGUUUCAUCGUUUAAGUGAUUGAAUCUCUCGAGUAGACUCUGUCUCUUUAGAUGCGAGGGCAAAAUAGCACUUUAUGGACUUCCACAGAGGACAUCAUGUUUAAUACGGUUCCGGAAAAAUCCAGUCAGAAGUUGUUCACGGAGUUUUCACAAUAACUGCUUCUCAUGAACCGAAGCUGGAUUUGCGCGACGUCUCCUCCUGAAAGUUGGAUUACUGUGCACUUCUGGAUCACAGGCUGUAAGUAUUCACGUUUAUUAUUUGCCUUUUACUGUACAUUACGUAACCGGUAACCGGAGAUUAACAUAAUGUGCGUGUAGAGCUAAGCUUGCAAGCGAACUGUUUUGUGUUGUAAUACUGUAUUUCAUAAACAACGUACCAUAUUUACACACGUGUAUGUUGAAUUAUGCAGACUAUCGUUUUUUUAUCGAUGUUGGUUAAGACAUGUUUACAAACUUGCUAAGUUACCAGCUUAACUGUUACCGGUAAAAUUUGUUCUCAUGAUCAAACUCAAGAAACUCUAAGUACAGAUGAUUUGUUUAAAGUUAUAUGUAUUUUACUGUUGUAUUUACUUGAAGCUUUCUUAGAUUUUGAAACGAAGUAAACACGUAAUGUGUGUUGCUAAUGUUGGGCCAUGUAAUAUGUAAUACAUGAACGUUUUAAUGAAUAGUCUAACGAUUUAUAGUCAUGGUACUCUAUUGUUAUAAUAUGUCUUUUUGACUGAAUACAUGUUUGUUUUAUUUGUCUAUAUCUUAGAUUCGCAGCUGGACACAUCCUUCUACACUGUAUGCAAACAUGCAACAUCAUAACCAGUGGCGUGUUUACCAUUUUGGGGGCCCUAAGCAAAGCCCAAGAACCGGGGCCCCCCAUGCACCAGCAUUGCCCAAGGUUUUUUAUUUGAAUUGUACAACAAUAAUAUUCAGUAUAUAUGAUACAUGAUUCAGACUGAUCUAACAAACUGAACUAACAAACACCAGCAAACAACAUUGUAAGUUGGUUAUUGCUUGAAUUUAUGGAUGGGAAUCACUUAACUCUCAUGUUUAUAUUGCAAAAACAAACUUACUGUGAGAUACAACAAGCAUAUAUGAGAUUUUAAUGACAAUGAUGAGAUACAGAAUAUGAUUUAUGUAUUUUCGAUGUGAUUUAAACCCCUGCGUGUCUUUAUCACGUUUAUACCUCUACGAGCGUGGAACAAAAGAUGCGUGUCACUGAUCAAACCAAACCAACAAUCACAGGUGUGAAGCCCAAAGUCUUUAAAGUAAACUUGACCAUUGAGUGAAUGUUGUGCAGUUACGAGAGCACAGAGAGAGUCGAGCGAGCGCUCAUUCCAGCACUUGUGUGGCUGGAUUUGUGCAUGCUAAGCAGAGGUGCGCUUUCCCGUAGAGUUUUGCUCAUGAAGUAGCCUAUAUGUGCCCUCACAAGGAUGUGCGCAAAUAUUUUUCUGCGUACAUACUCGCACAUCUCUCGCUUGCGCCUGCUUUAUCCGUACCUUAGAUUUGGGUCUGAAUAAACAUAACAUACUUUCGCACACCUUGUGGCUAGUAGGGGCCCCCCAAGCCCGCGGGGCCCCAUGCAAUUGCGUGGUUUGCGUGGUGGGUAAACACGCCACUGAUCAUAACACACAGUACAAGGAGUCAGACUGGCAUAUGAGGAGCAAAGGUGUGUAACACAAAUGAUGUAUUUAGCUAGUGAAACCACUACCAGUCUUAAAUGUAUAACUGAUGAUGACAAAGUUUUUUUUCUCUGCAUAAUCAUAGGAACCCAGACAGUAGCAUCGUUUCACAAUGUUUCCAUCACCAUCAUCAGUGGAUGCCUUUGCCGUCCGUAGCCUGAGAUUUCAGAUUUGCAGCAAAAAAAUUUGAUUUUCUCAUUUAUUGGAAUGCUGUGCAGGUUGUACCUUGCAGCCAUCCAUUACAAUGUCACCAAGCCGUAACAAAAGCAGGAGAGGGAAAGUACAAGGCUAUGUUCCCAAAACACACAAAUGACAUACCUUAUGUGGAUGAUGUGAUCAGGCUUGUGUUUGAUGAGGUAUUUGAAGAUAAGCUGAAGGAAACUCCGAUUCCAAUGGACCUGGCAUCACAGUUUGAGAAACCUUCAAAGGAGGACGUGAUUGCAUGCCAUCUUCAG